Molecule: transfer RNA, 68 nt
Filed under: Microchironomus tabarui
Lineage: Eukaryota; Metazoa; Arthropoda; Insecta; Diptera; Chironomidae
Description: tRNA-Phe
Source: RNAcentral
AUUUAAGUAGCUUAUACCUAGAGCAUGGUUUUGAAGCAGCCAGGGAAAUUUAUUUUAAUUCUUAAAUA